AUUGAACGCUGGCGGCAGGCUUAACACAUGCAAGUCGAGCGGGGUGAUGGUGCUUGCACUAUCACUUAGCGGCGGACGGGUGAGUAAUGCUUAGGAAUCUGCCUAUUAGUGGGGGACAACAUCUCGAAAGGGAUGCUAAUACCGCAUACGUCCUACGGGAGAAAGCAGGGGAUCACUUGUGACCUUGCGCUAAUAGAUGAGCCUAAGUCGGAUUAGCUAGUUGGUGGGGUAAAGGCCUACCAAGGCGACGAUCUGUAGCGGGUCUGAGAGGAUGAUCCGCCACACUGGGACGGGGACACGGCCCAGACUCCUACGGGAGGCAGCAGUGGGGAAUAUUGGACAAUGGGGGGAGCCCUGAUCCAGCCAUGCCGCGUGUGUGAAGAAGGCCUUAUGGUUGUAAAGCACUUUAAGCGAGGAGGAGGCUCUUUUGGUUAAUACCCAAGAUGAGUGGACGUUACUCGCAGAAUAAGCACCGGCUAACUCUGUGCCAGCCGCCGCGGUAA
Molecule: ribosomal RNA, 503 nt
Filed under: uncultured bacterium
Lineage: Bacteria
Description: partial 16S ribosomal RNA
Rfam family: Bacterial small subunit ribosomal RNA
Source: RNAcentral